UAAGUCAGCGGUGAAGUUUCGCUGCAAGAGCUGUAAAAAUGCCGUUGAAACUGUCGGACUUGCAUUGUAAGGCGAGGUAGGCGGAAUGCGUGGUGUAGCGGUGAAAUGCAUAGAUAUCACGCAGAACUCCGAUUGCGAAGGCAGCUUACUAAGCUACAACUGACACUGAAGCACGAAAGCGUGGGGAUCAAACAGGAUUAGAUACCCUGGUAGUCCACGCAGUAAACGAUGAUUACUAGCUGUUUGCGAUACGCAGUAAGCGGCACAGCGAAAGCGUUAAGUAAUCCACCUGGGGAGUACGCCGGCAACGGUGAAACUCCAAGGAAUUGACGGGGGCCCGCACAAGCGGAGGAACAUGUGGUUUAAUUCGAUGAUACGCGAGGAACCUUACCCGGGUUUGAACGUAGGGAGACAGGGGUGGAAACAUCCUUUUCAGCAAUGACUGCCUACGAGGUGCUGCAUGGUUGUCGUCAGCUCGUGCCGUGAGGUGUCGGCUUAAGUGCCAUAACGAGCGCAACCCUUAUUUCCAGUUACUAACAGGUAAUGCUGAGGACUCUGGAGAGACUGCCAGCGUAAGCUGUGAGGAAGGUGGGGAUGACGUCAAAUCAGCACGGCCCUUACAUCCGGGGCGACACACGUGUUACAAUGGUAAGGACAAAGGGCAGCUACCGGGCGACCGGAUGCGAAUCUCUAAACCUUAUCUCAGUUCGGAUCGGAGUCUGCAACUCGACUCCGUGAAGCUGGAUUCGCUAGUAAUCGCGCAUCAGCCAUGGCGCGGUGAAUACGUUCCCGGGCCUUGUACACACCGCCCGUCAAGCCAUGGGAGCCGGGGGUACCUGAAGUUCGUAACCGCAAGGAUCGACCUAGGGUAAAACUGGUGACUGGGGCUAAGUCGUAACAAGGUA
RNAcentral lists this ribosomal RNA (905 nucleotides) under uncultured bacterium. Its description in RNAcentral is "bacterial SSU rRNA". It matches the Rfam family "Bacterial small subunit ribosomal RNA", at positions 584 to 1498 of the family's 1533-position model. The record is from RNAcentral.